CAGACAGACAGUUGUAAACAGAAGUCAUCCGACACACACAAAUAAAGAUUAGCACCGGCCGGGCAAGGUCUCACUGAAUUGCUAAAGAUCUUGGCUGAUUUUUAAGCGGCAGCAAACGAGCCUUUCGGGAAUUGCCAAAUGACCCAAGGAAAAACAUGGGAAAGUCUGCAGGGAGGGUGGGACCGGGGGUGGAGCGGGUUGCAGACGCGGACCAGAUGAAGGCCAAGGCGAUCCGGGAGACAGACAGGCAGCUACGCCAGAGAUGCUCGGUGAAGUCCAAGACCAGCGCUCCCUGACCCCCAAGCGAGGGACCAUUUGUCACAGAGGAAGACAUCCCGUCUGCCUGGGAAGGAUGAGGCACGAUAUUUCAAUUGUUUUAUCCGCUUUCCAAUAGAGCCGGUUAUGAAUUCGCA
Long non-coding RNA from Sphaerodactylus townsendi, 413 nucleotides. RefSeq lists it as uncharacterized. Lineage: Eukaryota; Metazoa; Chordata; Lepidosauria; Squamata; Sphaerodactylidae. The record is from RefSeq and is a predicted model, not a curated record. The transcript has 2 exons.